AUACGGAGGGUCCAAGCGUUAUCCGGAAUCAUUGGGUUUAAAGGGUCCGCAGGCGGUCAAUUAAGUCAGAGGUGAAAGCCCAUCGCUCAACGAUGGAACUGCCUUUGAUACUGGUUGACUUGAGUUAUACGGAAGUAGAUAGAAUAAGUAGUGUAGCGGUGAAAUGCAUAGAUAUUACUUAGAAUACCGAUUGCGAAGGCAGUCUACUACGUAUAUAUUGACGCUGAGGGACGAAAGCGUGGGGAGCGAACAGGAUUAGAAACCCUAGUAGUCC
RNAcentral lists this ribosomal RNA (274 nucleotides) under uncultured bacterium. Its description in RNAcentral is "partial 16S ribosomal RNA". It matches the Rfam family "Bacterial small subunit ribosomal RNA", at positions 523 to 796 of the family's 1533-position model. The record is from RNAcentral.